CCUACGGGAGGCAGCAGUAGGGAAUUUUCGUCAAUGGGCGCAAGCCUGAACGAGCGAUGCCGCGUGAGUGAAGAAGGCCUUCGGGUCGUAAAGCUCUGUUGCGGGGGAAAAAAGUCAGCAUCAGUAAAUGGGAGCUGACUGCUGGUUCCCCGCCAGAAAGUCACGGCUAACUACGUGCCAGCAGCCACGGUAAUACGUAGGUGGCUAGCGUUAUCCGGGGUGAUUGGGCGUGAAGGGUGCGCAGGCGGUCUUGCAAGCCUGGAGUGAAACGCCUCAGCUCAACUCAUGAAUUGCUUUGGAAACUGGUGGACUGGAGGGCAGGAGAGGCUAGUGGAAUUCCAGGUGUAGGAGUGAAAUGCGUAGAUAUCAGGAGGAACAUCAGUGGCGAAGGCGACUAUCUAGACCGUAACUGACGCUGAGGAGCGAAAGCGUGGGUAGCAAACAGGAUUAGAUACCCGGGUAGUC
This 465-nucleotide ribosomal RNA is filed under the name uncultured bacterium. Its description in RNAcentral is "partial 16S ribosomal RNA". It matches the Rfam family "Bacterial small subunit ribosomal RNA", at positions 338 to 795 of the family's 1533-position model. The record is from RNAcentral.